RNAcentral lists this small nucleolar RNA (83 nucleotides) under Gouania willdenowi (blunt-snouted clingfish). RNAcentral's name for it is "Small nucleolar RNA SNORD100 (ENSGWIG00000010662.1)". It matches the Rfam family "Small nucleolar RNA SNORD100". Rfam says of the family: The members of this family belong to the C/D class of snoRNAs which contain the C (UGAUGA) and D (CUGA) box motifs. Most of the members of the box C/D family function in directing site-specific 2'-O-methylation of substrate RNAs. The record is from Rfam by way of RNAcentral. Lineage: Eukaryota; Metazoa; Chordata; Actinopteri; Blenniiformes; Gobiesocidae.
UGUAUCAGUGAUGAUAGUUUGGCUCCCUCUACUGAAACUGAUGAGGACACAGCCAUUGUUACCCAAUUUCUGUCUGAGAUACA